GAUGAACGCUGGCGGCGUGCCUAAUACAUACAAGUCGAGCGAACAGACGAGGAGCUUGCUCCUCUGACGUUAGCGGCGGACGGGUGAGUAACACGUGGAUAACCUACCUAUAAGACUGGGAUAACUUCGGGAAACCGGAGCUAAUACCGGAUAAUAUAUUGAACCGCAUGGUUCAAUAGUGAAAGACGGUUUUGCUGUCACUUAUAGAUGGAUCCGCGCCGCAUUAGCUAGUUGGUAAGGUAACGGCUUACCAAGGCAACGAUGCGUAGCCGACCUGAGAGGGUGAUCGGCCACACUGGAACUGAGACACGGUCCAGACUCCUACGGGAGGCAGCAGUAGGGAAUCUUCCGCAAUGGGCGAAAGCCUGACGGAGCAACGCCGCGUGAGUGAUGAAGGCCUUCGGAUCGUAAAACUCUGUUAUUAGGGAAGAACAAAUGUGUAAGUAACUAUGCACGUCUUGACGGUACCUAAUCAGAAAGCCACGGCUAACUACGUG
RNAcentral lists this ribosomal RNA (497 nucleotides) under uncultured bacterium. RNAcentral describes it as "partial 16S ribosomal RNA". It matches the Rfam family "Bacterial small subunit ribosomal RNA", at positions 28 to 507 of the family's 1533-position model. The record is from RNAcentral.